UACGGGGGGGGCAAGCGUUGUUCGGAAUUACUGGGCGUAAAGGGUUCGUAGGUGGCUUGCUAAGUCAGUGGUGAAAGCCCGGAGCUCAACUUCGGAACUGCCAUUGAUACUGAUAGACUUGAGUACAGAUGAAGUGGGCGGAAUGUGACAAGUAGCGGUGAAAUGCUUAGAUAUGUCACAGAACACCGAUUGCGAAGGCAGCUCACUAAAGUGUAACUGACGCUGAGGCACGAAAGCGUGGGGAUCAAACAGG
Molecule: ribosomal RNA, 253 nt
Filed under: uncultured bacterium
Lineage: Bacteria
Description: partial 16S ribosomal RNA
Rfam family: Bacterial small subunit ribosomal RNA
Source: RNAcentral